GAGGCUGAGACGCCGCAUCAACCCCUCAAGAAACUCCGUCGAGGCCUGCCUAAGGAGUCUCCGGCCCGCAGCAACGGUCAAGAGCUUCGAGAGAGCUCCCCAAAAUCCCGAGGCUUGAAGACCCCUUUGCACAUCCCGGUGCCGCCACAGAGGCGACAUGCUCUAGUGACCACCCCUGCCUCCUCUCUUGGAGCGGGGACCUCCUAUGUUGUGUGGUCCUCUGUGGAUAUUGCGAUCGCAGCCACACCGCUGGUGACUUUGCUCGGUGCGCCCUUAUCUUUUGAGCCCCUUUUUCAGAGGUCGGACGCCAGCCCCCAGGUAAGUAUUUUACCCGAGCUCCCUAUGCCUUUAAUAGGUGCAGUAGAUUAAUGAAUCCGCCUGUUUGCGGGAGGGCCUCUGUGGUGCUUGUGGUGGCCACGGACACGGAGAGCACCACCAAGGACGGUGGGGAUGGGGACUCGUCUUCUGUCGUGAGGCCCAUAGGUCCAUCACAUGUCCGUGUGGAAGGACUAGGCUCCCCUGGAGUGUUUGUCUUUCCUUUAGCGAGCAUGACAACGACACCUACAAUUUCGAAGGCCGUAGCUGGCAGUGUUGACCAGUCGGCCACACCCUCCGCACCCUUGGCCAGCACACCGCUGGAGUCUCCAACAGCCUGUCCAGAGGGGAGGCAGUUCAUUCUCCGCCGGUUGCGCCGGAGGUCCCUUCAUUUAUGCACAGGGGCUUCCGCCAGAGGUUCCCUAGGAGAUCGUGACACCCUUAAGGGCUGCCAACGAGGCGCUGAAGUGCCUGUGAUCAGUCUUGAAGUAGGUGGGGCUUUCUGCAGAUCCCAACUUCAAGGUGCUCGUUGGGGAGAACCAUAGCCUUGUUGCGCAGGUCUCGGAGUUGGAGGAGCAGCUGGGAGCUCUUGAGCAGAAGACCUGUGGCUUGCAGCGUGCCAGGGAUGUGUAGCCCCCGGGGAUGCUGCAGCCCUCCGUCAAGAAUUGGAUGAGGCCUCCAGGACCGUAAGCAGGCGGAGGAGGCGGAACAUACCGCCAUGAAGGAGCUAGAGAUAAUGUUGUCCUCCAAAUCACAUUUGGAGGCUACCCUUCAACGGGAGCAGGAUGUAUGUCGCGCCCUUUGUAAUGACUCAGAGGAGAAUAAGGACCGUCGGGGUUUGAUCCAGCGUGCUCUGGAGGCCACGGAGAAGAAAUUGACGCAGCAGGGUGACGUGGCCUGAGUGGCCGAAUAGAAGCUCCGCUGCCAGAGAUCCAGAACGAUGAUGCGGAGGCCUGGAUCCAAGACGUCGCGGCGGUGGCUGAGAAGAUGAGGACCGCCCUUAAGGUUGUCGUUGGUACUUUACACCGCGAUGGUCUCCUGCUGAAGUCUAACAUUGAGACUGUCCUGGAUCUGCUCGGGGAAGUAUCCUGAUCACAGGGACGGACGGUAAAUUCUGGUAUGCCCUAACCAAACAUGGCGGCCACCACAGAGAAAUAAAGCAUGCUUCGCUAAGUUGCGAGCUUCAAAAUUUGAGCUCCUAAACUCAUGACUGAAAUUAUAUAAAUCAAAAGCUAAAGAAUGUUCGACUA
This is a long non-coding RNA of Triticum dicoccoides, 1565 nucleotides long. RefSeq lists it as uncharacterized. The transcript is spliced from 4 exons. The record is from RefSeq and is a predicted model, not a curated record. NCBI's taxonomy places the organism in Eukaryota, Viridiplantae, Streptophyta, Magnoliopsida, Poales, Poaceae.